Molecule: long non-coding RNA, 223 nt
Organism: Chinchilla lanigera (long-tailed chinchilla)
Lineage: Eukaryota; Metazoa; Chordata; Mammalia; Rodentia; Chinchillidae
Exons: 3
Source: RefSeq, a predicted model, not a curated record
GAGGUUCAAGGUUAACAGUUUGCCUGGAAAGAUUUGGGCUUGGACAAAAAUGCUGAAAAUGUUGAGACUUGGGAAAAGAGAGAAGUAAUUUCAAUCAUCAACUGAACAACUAUUUGUGUAUACCUGACUCCGUGGUAAGCACAAAAAUGAUCAAGCUAAGGCAGUGUCAUGUGGGUGAGCCCUAAUCCAGUAUGCCUGUUGUCCCUGGAAAUUUAGACACAGA